Molecule: long non-coding RNA, 1661 nt
Organism: Callithrix jacchus (white-tufted-ear marmoset)
Lineage: Eukaryota; Metazoa; Chordata; Mammalia; Primates; Cebidae
Source: Ensembl
AUUGGUUUGAAGGACACAAAGUAUUGAUCCUGGGUGUGUCUGUGAGGGUGUUGCCUCAAGGAGACUAACAUUUGAGUCAGUGGGCUGGGAAAGGCAGACCCACCCUUAAUCUGGGUGGGUACCAUCUAAUCAGCUGCCAGUGAGGCCAGAAUAUAAGCAGGCAGAAAACUGAAAAGAGAGACUGGCCUAGCCUCCCAGCCUACAUCUUCUCCCAUGCUGGAUGCUUCCUGCCCUUGAACAUCCAACCCCAGGUUCUUCAGUUUUGGAACUUGGACUGGCUCUCCUUGCUUGUCAGCCUGCAGAUGGCCUAUCAUGGGACCUUGUGAUUGUAUAUUUGCAGAGUAUGAAAGGAAAUAUGCACAAGGAUAUUCAUCAUGGCAUAAAGAGAGUGGAAAAUUGGAAGUAAUCCAAAUGGAUUUCAAUAAAGGAAUGAUGACCCAUAAAUAAAACGUAAGUGAUAUGCUGCAUAUGGAUUACACAUUGUUGAGGGAAAGGGCAGGUUAUUGCAUAGCAUGUGUAGAAUGGUCUUAUUUAUGGAAAUAAUAUGCAUGUGUAUCUAAGCAGAGAAUGUGUCUAGGCACAGAAAGACAGUCACCAAAUGUUAACAGUUACUGUUGAUUGGUCGAAUUUGGGAUGUUUUUCUCCUUUUUUUUUAUACUUUCUAAUUUGUUUGAAUUUUUAGUGAGCUUGUUGUCAUUUUAACAAAAUAAUAGUAUUUUCAAGAAUGGAGGGAUUAUUAUAGAGAAAUGUAAGGAAGGCAGAGUCAUAAUUGGCAAGUAAAAGAAACUCGAGAAGGGCAGAUCCAAGACAGCUAAAUAGGAACAGCUCUGGAGGGCAGUUCCCAAUGAGAACAACACAGAGGGUGAGUGAACAUUGCAUUUCCAAACGAGUUAUUACUGCCCACAGACCAGGAGAUUCCCAGGCUGAAAAGCGCCAAGAGUUUCCAGCAUAGCUCUUUCAGCCGGUGCAGCAGGUCUCUGCACAAAAACUCACACAAAUCUGGGUAACCAUUUCAACUGACACCUGGAAUGCCCAGGAGAAAGAGCUGCCCAUUCAACUGAAAAAAAGGGGGCAGAUGGGCUGGGCAUGGUGGCUCAUGUCUGUAAUCCCAGCACUUUGGGAGGCCGAGGUGGGUGGAUCACAAGUCAAGAGAUCGAGACCAUCCUGGUCAAUGUGGUGAAACCCUAUCUCUAUUAAAAAUACAAAAAAUUAGCUGGGCAUGGUGUCGUGUGCCUGUAAUCCCAGCUACUCAGGAGGCUGAGGCCGGAGAAUUGCCUGAACCCAGGAGGCAGAGGUUGCGGUGAGAGGAGAUCUCACCAUUGCACUCCAGUCUGGGUAACAAGAGCGAACUCCCUCUCAAAAGAAAGGGAGGCAGAAACAGGGAGCCAGGUGAUUUGGCUCAGUGGGUUCCAUCCCCCCACCAAGACCAGCAAUCUGAAAUACUCUGGAUUGACAGUUUUGCAGCAAGCGCAGCUGGACCAGGGACAGUCCAGCUGUGUGAGGGGAAGGGCGUCCACCAUUACCAAGGCAAUCUGACACUACGGAAGCAGCCUGCCAUUUCCAAGGCAGUCUGCCAUUACUGAGGCAGUCUGCCGUUACUGAGGCAGUUCUAACUAUACCUCUGUAAACAAAACCACAAGGAAGUUCACAGAACAGCUGGG